Molecule: antisense RNA, 497 nt
Filed under: Streptomyces sp. ERV7
Lineage: Bacteria; Bacillati; Actinomycetota; Actinomycetes; Kitasatosporales; Streptomycetaceae
Description: Saccharopolyspora sRNA 350
Rfam family: Saccharopolyspora sRNA 350
Source: Rfam by way of RNAcentral
CGGGCGGUGGCGUCCCAGGUCGCCUCGCCGGAGACCAGGGCCUGCUCGCCCAGGUGUGCGCCGUCGGCCAGGACACCCAGGACGGCCUCGCCGCCGUAGGGGCCGGUGCCGAUGCGCUCGACGCGGCCGUGCGCCAGCAGGUAGACGGUGUCCACCGGGUCGCCCUCGGCGGCCAGGACGUCCCCGGCGGCGAACUCGCGCUGCUCGCAGCGGUUCGCCAGCUCGGUCAGCGCCGACUCGUCCUCGAACCCGCGCAGCGCGGGCAGCUCCCCCAGCUCGGCCGGGAUCACCGCCACCCGACGCCCGGUCUGCACAAAGGUGAUCUUCCCGUCACCCACCGAAUAGCUCAGUCGCCGGUUGACCCGGUACGUACCGCCCUGCACCUGCACCCACGGCAGCAUCCGCAACAGCCACCGAGAGGUGAUCUCCUGCAUCUGGGGGGCGGACUUGGUGGUGGUCGCCAGAUUCCGCGCGGCUGCGGUGCCAAGACUCUGCUG